Molecule: long non-coding RNA, 449 nt
Filed under: Ictidomys tridecemlineatus (thirteen-lined ground squirrel)
Lineage: Eukaryota; Metazoa; Chordata; Mammalia; Rodentia; Sciuridae
Description: lncRNA (ENSSTOG00000034180.1)
Source: RNAcentral
GAGAAUUUUAACAUUUAUUUAUUUUUUCUUAGUUCUUGGUGGACACAACAUCUUCGUUUGUAUGUGGUGCUGAGGAUCGAACCCGGGCUGCACGCCACGCUAGGCGAGCAUGCUACCGCUUGAGCCACAUCCCCAGCCCCUGCAAACAUUUUAAAUAAGCCAUUUUUGAAGACCCGGAGAGGGAUGUCUUUAUAUUUUACAUAUAUGGAAUGCUUCAGCCAUCAAGAGACUUUGACUGUGAGUGAAGUGCAUGAAAAUACGAAGGUAUAAGAAGAUGUUGGCCCUGGAGGCAACAAGUGGGGAGUGGAGGCACUGGCUGGACAUGGCCUCUUAUAAAGAGCACUGCAGCAGACAGAGUGGAGAGGGCUGCAGGACGCCCGUCACCAGGGAGACGUCACAUCUGCCUCCUAGGUAGGAUGCCUUCCCAAGGAAACCUGCUGCGAGGGUGA